GUUUCCGUAGUGUAGUAGUUAUCACGUAUGCUUCACACGCACAAGGUCCCCGGUUAAAUCCCAGGCGGGAACU
Molecule: non-coding RNA, 73 nt
Organism: Cordylochernes scorpioides
Lineage: Eukaryota; Metazoa; Arthropoda; Arachnida; Pseudoscorpiones; Chernetidae
Source: the annotation of a GenBank genome assembly